GACGAACGCUGGCGGCGUGCCUAAUACAUGCAAGUAGAACGCUGAAGGAGGAGCUUGCUUCUCUGGAUGAGUUGCGAACGGGUGAGUAACGCGUAGGUAACCUGCCUGGUAGCGGGGGAUAACUAUUGGAAACGAUAGCUAAUACCGCAUAAUAGCAGUUGUUGCAUGAUAACUGUUUGAAAGGUGCAAUUGCACCACUACCAGAUGGACCUGCGUUGUAUUAGCUAGUUGGUGGGGUAACGGCUCACCAAGGCGACGAUACAUAGCCGACCUGAGAGGGGGAUCGGCCACACUGGGACUGAGACACGGCCCAGACUCCUACGGGAGGCAGCAGUAGGGAAUCUUCGGCAAUGGACGGAAGUCUGACCGAGCAACGCCGCGGGAGUGAAGAAGGUUUUCGGAUCGUAAAGCUCUGUUGUAAGAGAAGAACGAGUGUGAGAGUGGAAAGUUCACACUGUGACGGUAUCUUACCAGAAAGGGACGGCUAACUACGUG
Molecule: ribosomal RNA, 495 nt
Filed under: uncultured bacterium
Lineage: Bacteria
Description: partial 16S ribosomal RNA
Rfam family: Bacterial small subunit ribosomal RNA
Source: RNAcentral